GAAGGUACAUUAUAUAUCCCUAGAAUGCAUCUCCCAUCACUUACAUGUAUAAAUAUUGUCCCCAUUUCUUUUUUCUUGUUCCUUUUAUUGGGAUGGGGGAUGAUUUCUGUGCCAACAAUCUCCUAAUAUGUAAAUCCUGCUCUGGGGGAAAAUUCAUUAAACAGGAUGAUAGAGACUGCACUCAGAAUCAAUACAGCAAGUCUGUGGGAGGAAGUGGGAACCAGAGAGCUGAACCUUCACCUCUCACUUCCUGUUAAGGCCUAGUAGUCUGUGGAAGGCUCAGGCUGGAAGCAUGCUUGGAGAGAACUCUCUGUAUCAGUUACCAUACAGCAUGUGCACAGUGCUAAAAGGAAGUUAUAUAGCUCCUCUUCCACAACAUGUCACCAUGCUGCACAGUGGAGAGCUGACAGCCUUAGGCCUGGAGAGCAAGUCCAGUCAAGGUUCCCAUGGAUCAGAUGGGCCGCCAGCCGCUGUCAAAGCACCUGACAAAGACUGACAACUGGUGAAUGGAAAAACGGAAUAAGCACUUGGAAGAAGAAAACCAACAACUGAGACAACUAAUUGUUACAGGCAAGUCAAUAUACCUACCUCUCAGCUAGAUUUUCCUGGCGUAAUGGAUACUUUGAAAACCACAAGAGCGCAGCUAAUAGCACUGAAGGUGGCAGUUCAUACUGUGUGGGACAGAAGGUGAUGCACACGAUACACCCAUCUGAAGAGUUGAGCUCAUCUGCUUGUCAAGUGUCGUACUCAAGGCCUAAACAGCUGCUACUUUGACAAAGUUUCCUGGGACUUCAUAAGGUGCGAUCAGUGACGCUGUUACGAGAAAAAUUGCGGCGUUGAAAUAUCACUUGAAGGGAAACAUCAGGAACCUCAUCAGAAUACCACAAAUAAACUUUUAUGUCAUUAAUGUCAUUUACCACAGUUAACACCACUUUCUAUUCCCUGUGUUGAAGUUUUUGUAUAUUUGCAUGAUAAUAAAGUUGUGUGUAUUGUACUGUG
Molecule: long non-coding RNA, 999 nt
Organism: Rana temporaria (common frog)
Lineage: Eukaryota; Metazoa; Chordata; Amphibia; Anura; Ranidae
Exons: 5
Source: RefSeq, a predicted model, not a curated record